GCCUUGGUAGUUCAAUGGAUAGAAUGGGAAAUUCCUAAUUUUCAGAUAGGGGUUCGAUUCCCCUCCGAGGUACUA
This 75-nucleotide transfer RNA is filed under the name Duncaniella freteri. RNAcentral describes it as "Duncaniella sp. TLL-A3 tRNA-Arg". It matches the Rfam family "tRNA". Rfam says of the family: Transfer RNA (tRNA) molecules are approximately 80 nucleotides in length. Their secondary structure includes four short double-helical elements and three loops (D, anti-codon, and T loops). Further hydrogen bonds mediate the characteristic L-shaped molecular structure. tRNAs have two regions of fundamental functional importance: the anti-codon, which is responsible for specific mRNA codon recognition, and the 3' end, to which the tRNAs corresponding amino acid is attached (by aminoacyl-tRNA synthetases). tRNAs cope with the degeneracy of the genetic code in two manners: having more than one tRNA (with a specific anti-codon) for a particular amino acid; and 'wobble' base-pairing, i.e. permitting non-standard base-pairing at the 3rd anti-codon position. The record is from RNAcentral. Lineage: Bacteria; Pseudomonadati; Bacteroidota; Bacteroidia; Bacteroidales; Muribaculaceae.